GUCCGCUUUAGGUUAAUUUACCAUAAUUUGAUUUAGUCCAAACUAUUUGCUAAUGGAUCGAAGAAAAUCCCAUAACUCAUUGGGCUAGAAUCAAAAUGCCACAAUUUCAGUUUGAAAGUUACAUUUAUCAAUUCCGCAACUCACUAUUUUUCUGAUUAUAUUAAUUGCGCCAAAAUAUUAAAUCAAAUGGCGUUAUUUUCCCCUUGAUAUGGUUUACCUGUAUAUGUUUUACUUAUAUUAUACAAUCCCAUGUAACAUGUACUAUAAGAAAAGGUUAUUGACAGAUGUACAAUUAUUUUAAGACGUACAUAAACAUAAUAUUCAGAAACUAAAUAAUGUAUUAGAUAUAAAGAUGUUUA
This 359-nucleotide long non-coding RNA is filed under the name Mytilus galloprovincialis (Mediterranean mussel). The record is from RNAcentral. Lineage: Eukaryota; Metazoa; Mollusca; Bivalvia; Mytilida; Mytilidae.